This is a long non-coding RNA of Gasterosteus aculeatus aculeatus (three-spined stickleback), 6136 nucleotides long. Lineage: Eukaryota; Metazoa; Chordata; Actinopteri; Perciformes; Gasterosteidae. The record is from Ensembl.
GCUUGCAGCUCCCGGACUGACAUUCAAGCCGUCUUUUGCCAGAAGCAGUUUUCUGUCCCACUACUCGUUUCUGCAGUCACAAACAAUUAUUGAAUCAAUAGCUGGCGGUCGAUCGCCCCGACGUGAUUUCCUUCACUGCUGCGAGAGUCGUUGUCAUUUAGAGGAACAAUGAACUGUUUUUGUUGUCUUAUUUAAAGCUGUUUAGUGACUAUAAGGUAACGUUAUCUGGCACAAGCAAUAGAUGUUGGGGUUGCUCAGCGGUUGAGUAGUGUGGCAGCUGAAGGUGUUAGCAUCAUGCUACCCCCAAUGAGUUGCACAUCUGAUAAUAAGAUGUCACCGGUGACAUUAAUGCAUUAUAUUUUCUUAUUUUCCGAGUACCCAACGCUGCUGCUAUGCAUCACUUCGGCAUGACAUUGCAGUGGAGGCUCAUCUGGGAAGAAAAACAGCUCGUAGUUCUUAGACUCUUCUUCCUGUAACAUAGCAAACUGAGGUGAACUUAUGCAUCCAUCCCCUGGGAAAGCUUUGUGUUUUCAUUACAAAUGCAGUCAGAAGGAACCAUACCUAUGCUUUUGAGGUCAAAUGUCUGGGGCAUUUACUACAAAUAACAUGCACAUGCAUACAUAAUGUAUUGUGGACUUGUGCUCAAUUGUGCAUCUUUUGCAUCAGAUAUUUGCUCAUAAUUCAAUACACAAAAGAUAUGCAGCUGAGUGCAAUUUGCCCCUUUUCUCUGUCAGUUGGCAAUUAUCCACGUGUUAAAGUAUAAGUGUGCUUGAGGCUGACUGGUUGGUUUUGUUGGUUUACUGUGGCUGAGCCAGAUGGGCCCCCAACACCAUGACUUCAUUCCGGUUGGGCUCCGACCAUUUCUUUUCGUUAACACUGGGCUUGAGUCGACCUUUGAAUCAUUUAAUAAACUUCUCUCUAUUGAUUUUGCAGAUAUGCACAUCUGCGCUGCAGAGCACACAUACACAGAUGGGAAACAUCAAUAGCAUGAAACAUUUGAGAGUUUCAAAGUUUCAACGCAAAAAGACAAAGUGAACCUUUACUCAUGCAGCAUUGAAGCAAAAAUCCUUCUUUUUUCUCGUGUCUUUUUAAAAAUGACAAUGUUUGGAAGCUUUAGAAAUACAUUAUUGGUGGUAAAACUGUUACUGUCAUUGUCACUGCAUCCCAAAAUAUAUAUUUCUUUAGGGAUCAUAAAGACGUUAUAUUUGCAAGGGAGUUGUUUAUCAUCCUUUAUGGGUUAUUUGAGAAUGUUUUGGUUUAUUUUGGUCUUGUUUGCUCAGGUUUUACAGCAAAAGAAACAGACAAUCAAUGUGUGUUGUGUUUAGUAUGAGCACAGUAAAUGAACUAAUCUUCAAAUCAAUGGCUCUAAGUAAAUUGUGUUUUAUAUCCAUUACAUUUUUUCGAUGUGACAUAUUUUAACAUUUUCCAACCCUAAAAUAGUUUUUUAGAAAAAAAUGUUGAGCUAAAAGAAAAUUUCAAACUAUUUUUCAACCCACAAUUAGCGCCACACCCCUGUCUUUCUGCAGACUGAAGACCUUUGUGAAGGACUGCACUACUAAUAUGCAAACAAUAACACAGGAAGCUCUGAAGUACAUGUUUUACACGCACAAAGCUUAGUUAGCAGAAGGGUUUUUGUGUCUAUCAGCAAUAGUUUGUUUUCGUUUGACCAAGCAAAAUCCCUCAGCUCCCCAUAAACGUAGCGGGAAUAACAAACUACUUAAUUACUUAUCGAAUCCAAGCCCCAUUGCCUUUACAGAAAUAAACUGAUCUGAUGUGAUGCGAUCUGCUGUCCCAUUUCACUCACUGCAUUUUGAGCCCUUUUAGCCUGAUGAACUCCCUCAUGCAUUCACAUGGAGCUCGCAGGUGUUGUCGAUGAAUAUUUGCGAGGGUUCAGUGUGCAGCACAAAGGCCGGACGUUGUGUUUGGGACGAGGUCACUGGACUGGACCGGAGAUGGAGCCGCUCCCAGAAUACUUCAAGUGCGAGGAUAAUCUUGUCAGCAAGUCAGCGCCGGGAAGCAGCGCAGUGGCUGGUGCUCGUAUGCAGCGUGUGUGUUGAGCCCCUAUUGAGGUACUGACAGUGAUACUGAGGGUGGGACUGUUGCAAACACACGAGCUGAGAGCCACGAAUGGCCCCGAACUCGCCCCGAUGACCUGCUUCUCAGGCGAUGGAAACAACGCGCCUGGUUCCAGUGAGAUGGAUUCGCCGACAGACCUGGACUCCACGUGCUUGGGAACAGCAGGAAACAGUUUGAGGAUUUCUCCCUGUGAUCUUAGCAGCGUAAUAUGCUGAGCGCGCAGAGAGGAAAGAGGAAUCUUAAAAUCCGUCUGUGUUUAAUGAGCUGGUGAUGCUUUUAACGUGAGAUACAACGUUCUGUUUUAGUGAAUGCUGUCAAGGGUGCAAUUUUUAAAUACAACAGUUACAUUUUGUGAUGAUAAACAACUAAAAGCUUCAGCGUUUCUCAUCAGGAAACACAUUUUUCCUUAUUAUAUUUAUUUGCAUUUGUGCUUUGCUCUUAUUGCUUGUUUUUGCUCGUACAAAAAUUAUGCAAAGCUUGAAAACCAACGACGUAUGAGUAAUUACUCGGAUACAGCCUCUCAAAGGGACAGUCUGGAGCUAAUAAACUUUGUAAUAAUGGCCUAAAAGCAAUAUUUAAUAACUGUUUACUGCAAGAAUGCACACACCCUGCACCGCAUUAGAAAAUUCAUAAUUGCAUGCAUGGAAUGUAUUCAAGUUAAAACUACUUAAACAAAAGUAAAACUUCAAAACACACUGCAACUUUAGACCGAGUAACAGUUCACACUAUAUUUGAGAUGGAACUUGGCUCUAAACGAUUUGAGGACGUUUAAUGGAAACGUGUGUGCCAAUGACACCACUAAGAGUUCUUUGAACGCUUUCCUGGUUUGUUCAAUUAUUUUAUUGUAUAGGACCUCCUUUUCACCGUGGAAUUACAUGGGUCAUGUCCUGGUGGUCAUCCCUACCCUUAAAAUAAAGGAAUGGCUUACUCUGAGUACCAGAUCCAUGUGAUUCACGGCUGUAUUUGGUGAAUAGACGUUCAUAAUACGCCGUUAGCGUGAGACCAAAAAAACGCAACAUGUGAGUCGAAAUGUUAUAUUAGAAAUAAUUAAAUACGUUUUUUAUUUUGAUCUUUUACUUUCUAUUGUUUCCUUUUACAGUAUGUUUUUAACUGUAAUGAACACAUAUACAGAGACAACCUUUUAAGUAAAAUCUUAAAAUUGGCAACAUGAGAGAAAAAAACAGAGAGUUUGUCUUGAUGUUUAAAGGAGGAAUGUUUUUGGCCUCGUCCCUUUUCAGUGCUGCAGCCCCUCGUACUCUGAGCACCUUGACAGUUUAAGGCAAACGACUCCCACCGUCGGGUUCUGAGAUUAACUCUGACAGCCACACUGAGGGCAUUUCUCUCCUUGAGGAGGUUUUGCUGACAUCGUUGGUGGCUUUUGCAGAUUCGAUUUUUAAGGAAAAAAACGACAUAAAUAUAAUAAAAAAACUGUCAACACGUUUCACCAGUUAUUUCUCAUAUAUGUUAUUUUGGCAAGCCAAAGGCACAAACAAUGACAGGAUGAAUAUAUAGACCGAUAAUUCCCUUAUUAUACCCUAUAAGCCACAUUUGUAAUUAUGAAGUUAAUCACCUACAGUACGUGUUCGUAUACCAACAGUAGUAUGAAUACCAACAGCUGUUGCUAUUACUCACAACUAUUAAGUAGACUUGGGAAAAAAUGACCAAUCCACGCUGUUAGGCCCCAAUACUUCUUUAAUGUGUUUUAAUAACUGUACAUUUUCACUCGUCCUUGAGAGCAGUUUCCUCCGAUGACAGAAUUGAGGUUGUUUUUAGCGUCAGAAGUGUGAUGAGGAGCUGGACACAUCCAACCCACCAGACUUUGGGCAGAUAAACAUUGAAGAGACAAAUAGUAUGUCGUUGACCUUUAUAAGCUGAGGUCACAGUAUUAAAUCCUUUGAGCCAUUUCUCAUUUUAUGAGAAGCACACUGCAGCUUCUACAACUGGUAAAUUAUUUAUUUUAUUUAAAGUAUUUCCUAAUCAUGAGUGACACUUGAUCUUGUGCGCAUGAAGCACUUGUUCCAUAACGGAAACGAUGCCUUCACAAAAACGAGACCGGAAUGCUUGAAACUAGUCGCAGUUUGAGAUGGAAAACAACCUUCUUUUUUGCCAGUGUUGGUUUUUAAUGAAGGAUUCACAUAAAAUCAGCCAUAGUAAAUGGAGAGUGUUUUUUGAGUGCAGCCUCUUCAUUGUCUGGGACUGUUUACUGCAUCUGUCGGCCUUCUGUCGGCUUUGCUUUCCAAUCUCUGUGAUUUUUCUGUGCAUGAAAAAGAGGCUCAUCCGUCCUGUUCCUCUCUCCCACUAUUCAUUCCCACCAAACGACUGAACAACUGCUUUAAGAUGCUCCUCCGACUGCUAAUCAUCCCCUGCCGUUUUUAAAACACCUCCACCGAGCUAAAUACCAUUCGGUUCAGCGCAUCACGAUCGACUCGGCGAGAUAGUCGACUGACUUUCCACUCUUCCAUUUAUCUCUCCUUGCUUGGCACAACAGUCAAUACGGACUCAGCUGGCCCAAGCGGAACGGAUUUCAAACCAAACAGAAUCACUGAACCUAUUAGCCCAGAUCUUGUCACAGAAACACGCCCCCAACCAUCAAAGGGGAGGAGUCACAGCUGGUUCGUUGGUUCAAAGUACCAGUCGCAGCAGUGAGGCCCAUUCUGCUAUAAUGUGUCUACCUGUGUCGCUAUUCAUGUCGUAAUAUGGUUCUUUUGGUAUGUUUUAUGUUCAGUGAAGGUUACAGACUGUCAGAUGGCAUCAGCGGUUUCUCCUUUUUUCUCCGUUUUUACGGGCUCCUCCCUUAUGCGCCAUUUCCUCCUCUACAUCCUUGCCUCUGUUUCCUCCUUUCUCCAAACAGUGUUUGGAGAGUACAAAUAUUUUGGUGUCAAUCAGGGAAAACGUGGUCUACCUCUUGCUAUAAUUGUCUUUUGAGUAACAAUUCAUUAGACUUGCAUGAAGACUUCACAAGGCGUCCUUGAGGAAUCCGGGGGCGGUUUACGCUUGAAAAGUUGCUGUCGUGUGCCUGAUGUAACUUGAGUGAAGUCUUACAAGACGGAGGUGAGGCAGCCCUGCUUUUGUGACAGUCGAAACUCUGUAUGAAUAUGUAUGAAUAUAAGCAUAAUACACACAGAGGUGGAAAAUAAAGCCUUGAAAUGAAAGUACUUCAGUAACAGAAUGAGAGAUGUUAUCCCACAGAGGGCAGAUGAUGGUGGGCCACUGGGCUAAUCACUGAUUCUUCAUGAUAUGUAAAUGUCCUCUCUUGUUCCUUAGUAACCAAGGAGCAACACGUCCUUCAGUGCUCGUAUGCACUUUCUCUCUGUAUUUACUUAUUUUCCAAAUAAUAUUACUGUUUAAACUGAAUUUUGAGAUUAAUCUGGGACAAUCCACCCGAGAUGAACUGUCAGAGGUGCUCGCCAAAGCUCUCGCAAACGACUACAGACAAAGCAUCAUUUAUCGCUUCCAGGAGUGGAGUCACCAUGGAUACGGGUCUUCCACCUGUCAUGCUGUUCGCACCGUUGGAUGGAUUAAGAAGGAAACAAACCUCCCUCCCUUUUUGGAAUACAUGCUUCUCAACUUGCGGGUGAAAGAUUGUUACAAUAUUCUUCCCCCAAAUGAGGUUAUGGAGGAAAUUAAGCACGAUGACCAUAAACGAUCCAGCCGUAGGGGUCCACCUGCUCUUGUUAUUCGAUGCAUUCGUCUUCCCUGUGUGCGUACAGUGCAUUAGCCAGGGAGUAUGUGUGACUUUUUACAGCUCCUCUGGAUCCACAAAAGGCUUUCACACAACUUGUUUUAUAUGCAUAUAUAUAUGUACAUAUAUACAAAUAUUCAUGCAGAAGUACUCCCAAAGAUCUGAAAAGUUACUACUACGUGAAAAAUAAGUUGCAUAAAGAAUCCCUCCCAAAUGUCAGAAGGCUUCUAGACAUUAAAGUAGAACACCUACUGGCAUGGAAUUGAACAGCCUCAGGUAUCAUCAUUCUAUACAUCUCAUUUUUGAGUUUCUCAUCCAAUGUUGUAAGUUCCUUUUCUGUCUUUUUCAUUUUUUAAUCUCAAACGUGUCAUUUUCUUC